RNAcentral lists this long non-coding RNA (242 nucleotides) under Trifolium pratense (red clover). RNAcentral describes it as "long non-coding RNA (TPRA_LNC000124)". Lineage: Eukaryota; Viridiplantae; Streptophyta; Magnoliopsida; Fabales; Fabaceae. The record is from RNAcentral.
CUUCACUAUGAAACAUCACCAAUAAAACAUCCCUCAAUUUCCACAAACACUCUUCCUUCUCCUUCCUCAAAGAAGAAAAAAGUAUAAUAUCAGUUUUUUAAGGAUCAAAAGACUAGGUUUUUCAAUUUUCACAAAUUUCUUCAAAAUCUUGGCCACAAAGAGGGAAUAGAGCCUCCACAUGGAUUCCUCUAUCAGCUCCCAUGACAACUCCAGAUCUAGCAGUCUUAACCUCUUAAGCCACC